RNAcentral lists this ribosomal RNA (212 nucleotides) under Salmonella enterica subsp. enterica serovar Typhimurium. RNAcentral's name for it is "partial 16S ribosomal RNA". It matches the Rfam family "Bacterial small subunit ribosomal RNA", at positions 1332 to 1533 of the family's 1533-position model. Lineage: Bacteria; Pseudomonadati; Pseudomonadota; Gammaproteobacteria; Enterobacterales; Enterobacteriaceae. The record is from RNAcentral.
UCGCUAGUAAUCGUGGAUCAGAAUGCCACGGUGAAUACGUUCCCGGGCCUUGUACACACCGCCCGUCACACCAUGGGAGUGGGUUGCAAAAGAAGUAGGUAGCUUAACCUUCGGGAGGGCGCUUACCACUUUGUGAUUCAUGACUGGGGUGAAGUCGUAACAAGGUAACCGUAGGGGAACCUGCGGUUGGAUCACCUCCUUACCUUAAAGAA